RNAcentral lists this ribosomal RNA (462 nucleotides) under uncultured bacterium. Its description in RNAcentral is "partial 16S ribosomal RNA". It matches the Rfam family "Bacterial small subunit ribosomal RNA", at positions 28 to 507 of the family's 1533-position model. The record is from RNAcentral.
GACGAACGCUGGCGGCGUGCUUAACACAUGCAAGUCGAGCGACGCUCUUCCUUCGGGGAGAUGACGGAGCGGCGAACGGGUGAGUAACACGUGGGCAACCUGCCCCUAGCUCUGGGACAACACCGGGAAACCGGUGCUAAUACCGGAUACGACAUCGAGCGGCAUCUCUCGAUGUGGAAAGUUUUUUCGGCUAGGGAUGGGCCCGCGGCCUAUCAGCUUGUUGGUGGGGUAAUGGCCCACCAAGGCGACGACGGGUAGCCGGCCUGAGAGGGCGACCGGCCACACUGGGACUGAGACACGGCCCAGACUCCUACGGGAGGCAGCAGUGGGGAAUAUUGCGCAAUGGGCGAAAGCCUGACGCAGCGACGCCGCGUGAGGGAUGACGGCCUUCGGGUUGUAAACCUCUUUCAGCAGGGACGAAUUCAGACGGUGCCUGCAGAAGAAGCACCGGCCAACUACGUG